UCCCCUCCUGCUCUUCUUCCUUUGCCUUCUCCUGCCCCUUCUCUUCUACUGACACUAGGUGGUCGGGCCCUGGGUUCCACCCGCAUUCAGUCUCCAUUCUAACGCUCUCUGCUGCAGUGGCAGGCAGAGUCCCAAGCCAGUGGGCUCCUGGUCUGCAGACCACAUGAUGUGGGGCCACCAGCAGCACAAAGGGCUUUGUGUUAAGCAAUGAGCAGAAGGGAGAUGGGCGAUGGGCCGACUAGGAAGGUGAUGGGCAGAAGGUUCUGCAAGCAUGGGUGACAUCUGAAAGCUGAAGCUCUGGAUAUGGUAACAAGAAGGGCAGAGGAGCCAGUCCAAUUACUGAAAAAGUAACUAGGUAAGCAAAUGUGAAGAAAAAACCCUAACUGGAAAGCAAGCACGCAUCAUCUGUGUGUCAGCGGGGCACAGAGCAGAGUCUGGGGCGGAGACGGAGGAGAGACCGAGGGCCGCGGGUCACAGCUGAGCACCGAGUCCCGAGAGCCCGGCCACUGAAAUCCCCCGGGUCCUCAGCAGCAGCGGGAGCGGAACCUGCAAAGGCUCGCACUGAACGAGGGAAGUGAGCGACGGCGGAUGCAGAUCCGGGGCACCGUGUGGGCCUCCCUCCCCGGGAUGCAGAGGAACCGGCACACAUCCUGAGAGGGCCCUUUAAGAAUACGCCAAGAGUCACACAGGCUCAGACAGUGAAAUGCUAACAAUGCUGAUCCCCGAGCCUUUCCACAGAGGAGGCCAACAGCCGCCAUGGGACGACGUCAUUUAGUACCCACUCGGUCUCUGAAGAACCAACACCAUUUAAAGAGAAAAGGCCGCUCAGAUUGUCGAGAAAAUGAAGCGACAGUUGAGGAGCAAGAAAGGGACCACGUCAGGGCCUGGCAUGCUGCCCACUGCCACUGCUGCCCAGGCUCAGCUCAAAGGUCCGGGAAGUGGGGCUGAAGUUCCGGGGACCUCUGGGGUCUUCCCAAAGGAAGCUGCCCCACCAGAGGCCAGGCUAGCUAGAUUACAACCUGCCAUGUAGGUCUAGGCUCGGACGGUGCAGAGCUGAGACCCCGACCCACGUUUGACCUGUCAGAAACACCGCCCACACCCCACAGCGAAUCCAAAAUGUCUCUAAGGAAAAGCCCCACCUAUGAGGCAUGGGUAGAACCAAAAUACACAAUAGAAAAUGAAUCAUAUGUACCCUUCUUUUUAAUACUUUUUAUCAGACAUACUGCAGUGGUAGAAGGUAUUAAAUAAUGAGACCUGUCAAAUUUUUUUUUUUGGAUGCAGAGGCUUGAACCCAGGACCUCAUGCAUGCUAAGCAAGUGCUUCACUGCUGAGCUGCAUUCUCAACCCUUUUAUUUAGUUUUUUAUUCUGAGACUGAGCAGUUAAAUAAUUGAGAGUAAAGAAAAUACUGACUGCCCUAUAUAUUUGGUUUUUCCUUGGAGUAUUCUGGAUUAAAAAGAAAAACACAAGAUUCUUUGCUUUAUCUGAUGUGGAUUUGUUAGUCAUUCUUUCAACCCCGGUGUUUUAUUAAACUGUACUUGAGGAAGAGGGCGCCGCCUGACAGCGCCUCUCCGCAGUGGCUCAGUCGGCCGCAGCACCGUGGCCUUCCACAGGCGGCGCUCGGGCUUCGGGAGAGGCCCUCAGCGGCAGCGAGAAGGUGGGCUCACGCAGGAGCCCCUCGCUCCCAGCACUGACAGGCGUGGCCUGAGGCCUGUCACCCCUCCACAGACACAACGCCCGGCACGCCCCGGAGGCACCUGGGGCCUGGGUGGCCGAGGGCCGCACGGAAGACCGCAAAUGUGAGGCGUCGCUGCAGCCGCACACCCGGGGAGAAUGCACUCCGGUGUCGGCUCUCUCGGCAGUGAGAUGGGGCGCUGGCGACACCCGGGCCCUGCUGGCCUUCGCUUCUCAGAGUCCGCGGGCUGCUCUCGGUGGGGCGGCAGGAGCGCGGCCACAGCCCAUCCGCCCAGACCCUUCCCAGCCCAGCAGCGUCCACGUCCUGAGUCCUCCAUCUGCACGCAGCCAGGCUGGAGCCCCGCCUCCCUCGCCGGCCCCCGUGGCGGCGCCCGCCCUGCUCCCCAGGCUGCCCGCGUCUGACCCCCAGGCUGCCCGCAUCUGCCAGGGUCCGGACUCCCGGAGCUGAAGACAGGUGCUGCGUCCGCGUCCGCUGGCUUUCCCGCACCUUUGACAUCGACUUGCUAAGUAAAGAAAAUGAAUUCAAAGAGCCACAAGCCUCAUGUGUAAAUGCAUUACUCUCUCCUGUUUAAGAAAAUGAAAAAAGAAAAAGAAAAAAGAGGAAGGCCAUCUGCCACCUCUCUCCAGAAACAAGGGACACUGCCCAUGCAGUCUCACAUGCACCCUGAUACCCACUACGGGGACAGCUGGCAACACUGUCAGCACUUUCCAGGGAGGUCCUGGGGAGUCUCCAUGUCCUGCUUUGAAGUCCUCCAGCCCUGGUGGGAGGAUGAGACCUCUGACUCGAUGUGCAAGCGUGUCUAGGUGUAAACACACACAGACACGCACACGAUCCCAGCCAGCCGUGAUGAUUUCGGCUCUAUUCUGUAUCACUGUUUAAAAAACUGGUCAUCAAAGCCCAGCUACGGGCCAAGACACGUACUUUAAGAACCCUCCACAGGCAGCUCUGCACCCAAGACGGUGCUGCACCAAGGAGACGGAGUCGCGCAUGUCCCUGCUGCACUGUCCCACAGCCACCUCUGCAGCCAUUGGCUUCAAGGUCACUGCUCCUCAGAGACAUCUGAUGUUAUCCAUGUUUCUUAAGUAAUGAUUUGCUCUUUGAUAGGACUUGCUGUUCUUUUGUAGUCUUACUGGUUGAUUACCCUGAAUGGAUUACUUAGGCAUUCAGGAGCAUAUAUCACAGCCAGAUUUUUAGCAAAGCUCCUCAUCUUGCUACUGAUUCCUGCAUGAUAUUUCUGGAGUCAAUCUGUUGUUACUCUUAAAAUUAAAUGGAAGAGGCUGCUAUAUCCAACUGUUACUUCAUUUUAUAGACUAUUCUGUGAAAUGCCUGAAGUCCUAGAACAUAAUUUUAAAAAAAGAAAACGUUAAAUGUGGUGCUAACUUUGGUUCUGACAACGCUCCACAGCAGACUGAGCUGCCCGCUGCUCCCCCCAGCACCUCAGGCAGAGGCUGAGUGGCUGUUUCUGGCCUUGAGCAUGCGUCACCACUCUUCCUGGGCCGGCCCACCAGGCACCAUUUGUAUUCAACUUUCUAACCUCUGACAGCAAUCUCAUUGUUACUAAAAUAAUGGUUGUCAUUUUGCUCUCUGUGUUCAGUACACAUUAUAUUGCUUCAUCAUGUACAAAGCACUUUCACAGAUAUUAACAGCUCACAUUUGUUGGCCAUUUAGUAAUGGUUAUCUCACAGAACCUUCAAACCUGUAACACCAGCACUGUUCAUUUUACAGACUAGAAAACUAAAGAACCUGCCCCCGGGCCACAAGGCCACACGGGUGAACUACGUCAAAUCUUCAGAAGUUAACUCCUAACCAGUGGAUUCUAUUUCACCCAUCCCUCUACAUGCGUUUGAGGGUUACAAAGGCCAGUCAACUUCUUCAGGGUUAUCAGUGACUGAGUGGUGGUAACAGGACUCGAACCCAAACCCCAGGCCUGCCCAGUGCCCCCGGCUCUCUGGCCUACUCUGCCGCACAGGUCUGUAUCCCCAACAGCACCCACCUGGUGCCUUCACACACAGAGAGAGGACUCAGACAAAGCCUCCAGGGGCCUCAGGCAGAGGCUACACAGCCCCUCCCUUGUCCGCUGCCCUCCUUCCCAUAUACAGUCAGGAGGAAAACGGAGUGAAGAAUGUGCGUUUAGAUAUGGCAGGGAAAUGUGAAACAAUGUUACUUCGGACUAAUUUAAGGCAGCUGUAUAACCUACAGGUUAGGAAUCAGGGAAAGAGGCCAAAUAACAGAAAGGAGACAGUGUACGGACUAAACAAGAACACGUGUUCAAAUAUUGAAAGAAUUGAAUCUUUACAUGUAAAUAGUAGAAAAUGAAAAUAAA
This is a non-coding RNA of Heterocephalus glaber (naked mole-rat), 4017 nucleotides long. NCBI's taxonomy places the organism in Eukaryota, Metazoa, Chordata, Mammalia, Rodentia, Bathyergidae. The record is from RefSeq and is a predicted model, not a curated record.